Long non-coding RNA from Helianthus annuus (common sunflower), 3130 nucleotides. RefSeq lists it as uncharacterized. The transcript is spliced from 9 exons. NCBI's taxonomy places the organism in Eukaryota, Viridiplantae, Streptophyta, Magnoliopsida, Asterales, Asteraceae. The record is from RefSeq and is a predicted model, not a curated record.
CAUGGCAGUUCAGGGCAGUUCUUCCUUUACGGUUUUUAGCAGCUCCCCGUUAUUUUGCCCACGUCUGGUAACCUCCAACCUGUCUCCUUUUUUUCCUCCUCACGUCACAGGUAUCCUUCAUAUACUACACAUCUGAUUUAUACACAGACAAAUAACAUAGCUUUCAUCAAUUUGCUAUCUCAAACCUUCAUUCAAUCACAACCUGAUGUUUUACACCCCCACUGAUCUACCAUUGUCGUUGAAAUCUUCAAGACCAAGUUCAUCUUUCACGUAACACUAAUGCUUCUUCAAAUUCAUCUUGAUUUUCACUUAGGUGGCUUUGCGAAUAGUCAGUCCAUCACAUAGCAGUUAAUCGAAAAUCAAAACCCUCAAUGAUUCAGAACCGAUGUUGAAGAUUUAGAGAUGAUUCAGUUGGAAAUAUCCAGAUGGGUGAGAAGCCAUUUUUUUGUUGUCUUCUUUUGUUCAGGUAUUAUACGAUUCUUCACACAUAUAGAUCAAAGGCAAAGCUUCAGCAGCUGCAUCUGCAUCGACAACCACCGUGAAUUUCUUACACUCUGCGAUGUUGUUUGAUUGUUAUAUAGUUAGCAGAUCAUUCCGGAGAAUUAAGCCCUAAAUUCAGGAGAGAUGUAUGGUCUUUAUUACUACAAAGGUAAACCAAAAAGGUCAGUAGUUGUUGUGAAAUCAUUUGAAGCCAGGAAUGACCAGGUAGCAGACGACUAGGGUUAGUUUUUUUUCUGUAUCACAAAAUUAGGAUUGAUCCUAAUUUUAGAUUUCAUGGGUUUUAUGCCAAAAAGUUACAGGGGCAUUUUAAUUACAAUGUUUGAUUGUUAGACUAUGGGGUAUGGGGUGGGGUUUGGGGUUGGGGCGUGGGUUGGGUACAAACGCCCAAGUCACCACCCCGGAUGGGCGUGGGUUUCAGCGUGGCCCGUUUAGUGUGGGAUUCAGCCCGGGCAUUGGGCGGGGCUACCCACAUGACAUGGUGGAACCUCAUUGGCCAAGAGCACUAGCCAUGGCGGAACCUCAUUAUGAUGUGGCUUGGCCAUGCCACCCCAGCCACGCCCCACCAUACCCCUUAGAAAUUGGCUUUUGGUCUUGGGUGCCCCAUACUCCAUGUGUCGCACCAUGCCCCCAACCCACGCCCCACCAUACCCCACGGUCUUAAUAUGUUGUGAUAUUUGACAGGAACCAAAAACACUUACAUAGAAACACAUUGCAAAUCAAAAAUUGAUUUGGAGGAAUGAGAACUUCGGACUAUGGUCUCCACCUCCCUCUCCUGGCCUAAUCGUUCAUGAUUUUGGGUGUUGAAAAAAAAAUGUUUUGUUGGGAAUUUGAUUGGAUGAAUGUUGGAGAGAGCUUCUUGAUUAAGCUAUGGUGAAGUUUGCUGAUGUUUACAUGAAAGCUGAUGUUUGUUAAGUGAAUGAAUGAAAGCAUACUUAGAGAAGCAUAAUUUUUAGGGAGCUUGAACUUACAAUAAUUAGUUCAAGUGUUCAACCAUUUAUAGUUUUUAUAGCUAAGGGUGUUCAUAAACUCUUCAAACCGACCCAACUGCCCAAUUGAAGAAAGUUGGAUGUUUUAGUUUGUUUGAGAUUCAAACAGUUUGGAACAUGGAAAUGGCUGUGGAAACUAAACCGUUACCACAAUAAUAGUGGUACGUGAUGCGAUUUGUUUGGUUACGUGCUUCCUCCCAACUGCCUCUCAUCCCCUUUUAAACUAAUAAGAAAACUCAGCGAGAAGAUGUCCCUGCUGAGAUUUAUGGUUUGGUUUCAAUCACCACUUCUUACCUCCAAAAUGUCAAAAGCAUGGGCUCAGUUCUCCGGCGAUGGUGAAGAUUUCUCUCCGAUAAAUGGAAUAAACGAGCUCUUUGCAUGUAUAAACACACUUAUCUUCCAUCUUCAAUCGUCAAUCAUCAUCCCUAGAUCUCAAUAACGAAGUGUUUGUAAAUGGUAGCUCUAACCACCAUUAGACGUCGACCAUGCAUCACCACUACCAGUCUACCAAGAGCAUCCACGUUCCAAGCACCAGUUAACACUGACGCCAACUCGUGUUCUACAAUACAAUGGUCAAGUGGGAAGGUCUAAAGGCAUUCGUGAGCAUUGACAGAACACCAUUAUAUUGUGGAGAUGUUUUAAUCACAAAAGGGUUCACCGAGUCUUAUCAACAUUUACACUUCUGUUGGAUUCUUAGAGCUGGUCACUUACGUAAGUUUUACACUGGUACCUCAUAUAAACAUUUUUAUUUGUUUAGGUGUGCCAAUGUGUUGUUGAGAAUUCCUAUAUGGGUAGUAGUUCCAGGUAUGCAGGUGAUGAUCCAUUUCAUUACUUAUCAUGUCUAAUAACUAAACUAUGGAAUUCUAAGUUUAAAUUACAUGCGAGUCUUCCUGGUGUCAGGUUUGGUGGGAAUGUGAGAAUUAUCUUUUCUCUGGAUGUUAGCCGGGUGCAAGCGUCAUGGAAUGGACUGGGGGUUAUGGGGGGAGCAGAGUGGUUGCUAAAAUAUUUUUUAGUUCUGGUGGCUUUGUUGUUGAUAAUGUAAUGUGUUGGUUUUACUUCGUACCAUGUAAUUAUCCAACUCCUUGCUGGUGUGUCUUUUAAUGAAAGGAUGGCUUUGAUGUUCAAAAGCAAAAUGAUUGAUAUAGUGUUAAUAUUAUGACGUUAACGUUCUCGCCCACUUAAAGACUCAAUCUAAUAUAAGUUAUUGAAAUUGUCUCCAACCUUGCUUUUACGUUUUUAGGCAUAUUAUAUAUGUCUGCGAAUAAAAAACUUGUCGUUAGAGACUUGCGUUGCAAUCGUACUAACAACCGGAAUAUAGUUGUUAUGGUCUCACGCAGAUGGACAAAAUACGACCCAAAACAAACCGUGUUCUUUCUAACGACAUUAUUUUUUCAGAUUAACACGGUUAAAGAAAUAUACCAAGUUUGACAAAUGGGCACUAUGCAUCAAGUCAACAUGUCGAAAAGAGGCCACCUUUGAGGUUAAAGAAGACGAUCCAAAAGCCAAAAAAAUUGAGGCGGUUAACUAUGUUUGAAUGUCAUUACACUUUCCCCCAAUGUUGCCUACCGUUUACUUUUGCAUUAACGUGACACCAUUUCGUGUUUUACCACUCUUAUCAAGUUUAUUUUAUAUUUUUUUCUGCU